GUCAGGGUGGCCGAGUGGUUAAGGCGCCUGCCUCAAGAGCAGGUCCCCCUGUGGGAUCGUGGGUUCGAAUCCCACCCCUGACA
Non-coding RNA from Frankliniella occidentalis (western flower thrips), 83 nucleotides. NCBI's taxonomy places the organism in Eukaryota, Metazoa, Arthropoda, Insecta, Thysanoptera, Thripidae. The record is from the annotation of a RefSeq genome assembly.